This 1309-nucleotide long non-coding RNA is filed under the name Equus caballus (horse). RNAcentral describes it as "lncRNA (ENSECAG00000050901.1)". The record is from RNAcentral. Lineage: Eukaryota; Metazoa; Chordata; Mammalia; Perissodactyla; Equidae.
CCCGAGUCUGGUUUCAGCGUUCCCUAAGAAAGCCUCCCUCCCAGGGGGAAGGGACGUGCCUGUGGCCUCCAUAUCUCCCCUACUGAUUAAAGGUCAAUACAGUGUUUUCAGAGUUAAAAUGCUAACCUGGCCUGUCCUUGCAUCCCGCAGGGUUCUCUGCAGGAAGUGCUGGGCACCCACAAGGAGGCAGAAGGCAGCACGGCCCAAGCCCCCUGACCAGCCUUCACCAGCUGUCCCCACAGAGGCCGUGGGCCAGAUGGAGCUGAGGUUCCCACCGUGCCUGGUGCGAGGCCACACACACCGCAGCCUCCCAGCCUCGGACAGAUGCCAGGGUCAAGACCAUCAAAUAAUUUACUGCAACGACCUGUGCCCACCGGGCCAGGACGGGGCGGGAGGAGAGCACAGCAGGGGUGCAGGGGAGUCAGUUCAAGACAGUCUGUGCAAAACGUCCUGGGAGGUCUGCGGUCACUCUGUCCACCGACCCUGGGCUGGCCGGGCUCCAGCAGCACUUCCUUCCUUCCUUCCUUCCCCCCUCCUUCCUCCAUCUGCACCUCCUCCCCACAUCCGGCACCUCUGGGCCCUGCAUCUGUGCCGGGUGGGCACAAAGGACCAGCAGGGACGUCCAACACCAUGGGCACGUCAUCUGAGUCCUUCACCCGCUUGAUCUGCUCCCUGCAAGGAGAAAGGUGUGAAUCAGCCAGCAGGCUGCAGGUUCGGCUGCAUCCAGGAGAUGCAGAUGGAGGACAGGGAGGCCCCUGAGGGCCCACGGGCAGCUCACCUGUACUGGUGGAUGUCCUCGAAGGACUUGGUGUUGUUGAUGGCAAAUACACAAAGGAAGCCCUCCCCAGUGCGCAUGUACUGGUCCCGCAUAGCACUGUACUCCUCCUGGCCUGCUGUGUCCAGUAUGUCCAGCAGGCACGUCUCCCCAUCAAUGACCACUUGCUUCCGGUAUGAGUCCUACGAGAGGACACUGCUCAGGGACCCCCAUCCCUGCUUGGAUGGGGCGUUCACACUACCAGCCUCUCCUCUGCACCUCUCGUGCCCCUCCACCCCAGGUACUAUGACAGGGGGACCCCCUCCUAUGGAGCAGACAGAAGACAUGCCCACAUCAGGAUUCAGGGCUGGGAACAGGGCCAUCCCAGCUCACCUCAAUGGUGGGGUCAUACUCAUCCACAAAGUGGUUCUGGAUGAGCUGGAUGGUCAAGGCACUCUUCCCCACGCCUCCAGCACCCACCACCACGAGCUUAUAUUCCGUCAUCGCUCCUCAAGGGGCUGCGGCAGGAGGCACUUCAGUGGUCUCCUGUCCCAC